AUAGUUUGAAUUUUGUGGAUAGAGGACAAAAAUUUAUCAAUGCACCACUUUUUUUAGAUAAAAGUCCUUGAGCCCUGGUUUAAAGCCUUUUACUGAAAGCAGAUCAUAAACAAAUUACGGGUGCUGGGGUUACCAGCUCACAAUCCAGGUUCAGAACACAGAAACUAAAACUCAGUUUAACUAGCCACAGCCAAAACAGACUAACACUAAACAAACCCUUACUCACAAUACAAUCAUCCCACCAAAUAUCUUCCAAAGACCAAAAGAAAGAAAACAGUCUAUCCCACUCCAGUUCUCCAUCUGAUAUGAUUCAGAUUACUAGCCACUCCCUGGAUCUCCCGAAUCAUUUGUUCCAUGCCAUCUUCUUCGUUUUGCUUCAGCAACGUCUUCCAGUGCCUAAGAAGCAAAAUGAGAUGAAAAAUAAUUGUUAAAGGGGAAGUAAUCGGUUUCUUUCUAAAGAUCAUAUCAUUUCUAACAAUCCAAAGAUUCCAGCUAACAGCCACAAGCAAGGCAACUCUAAUUCGCACUUGUUUGUUACCAGCUCUCCCUAGCAUUAACCAAUGAAAAUGUUCAAAAUUAGUAGGAAUCAUACUCCAACCCAAAGCAUCUCUGCAAAUGCACCACACAAAAACAUCCGUAGGGCAAUCAAAAAUAAUAUGUUGAGUAUUCUCUAUUAGGCUGCAUCUGCAACAGAAUUCAGAGCCACCCCAACCUCUCUCUUUUGAUUGCACUGGCAAUUGUAUUCUAUCUUUUUCUGCUAGCCAAAGAAAAUGUUUAAAUUUCAGAGGGCAAGAGGUGUUCCAGAUAUCCUCCAUUCUAGCAUCCUUUACACAUCUAAGCCUUAGAGUUCUGUACAUAGAUCUAACAGUAAAACUCUUAGUGUUUUCUAGCUCCCAUUAGAUUUUGUCAACAUCUCCUACUAGUUGAACAUCUCUAAUUUUUGCUUCUAGCUCAUGCCAACAUCUUAAAGUCAAAAUCAAUAAAAGAUCUUCUAAAAGUUAGAUUAUGAAAAUUACCAUCCACCACCUCUUCAACCAUUGCCUCUUGUUGAUUACAAAUGUUAAAAAUAUUACUAUACAUUACUUUUAGUGAUACAUCAUAAAGCCAAACAUCAUUCCAAAAAUUGACCUGGUUUCCAUAUCCUAGUGACCACUUGCUAUCUAUCUUAAAUCACCUCUUAAUUUGUAACAAACCUUUCCAAAAUUGAGAAGCACCAGAUCCAUCACUUUGGAAGAAACAAGAACCAUAAGAUAUUUCCUCCUUAGGAGGUUCAGACAAGGACUCCUCAGACAUAAUAUCAAAAAUCCAUUUGGAUAACAAAGCAAUAUUCAUACUUCUAGUGUUAGUAAACCCAAGCCUCCAAACUCUUUAGGUAGAGUCAGAUCACUCCACUUGAUCAUAUGAUACUUCCUUUUCUCACUAAUGCCAACCCAGUAAAAUUUCCCUCUAAUAGAAUUCAUUUAUUUUUAUUAGUCAAACUCUUCUUGCGUUCCCUUUCCUUUUCUUCCUCCACCUCAUUAAAACUCUUAUCCUGCACCACAGGAUCAAAUAACAUAUCCUUCUCCAAUUUUUCUUCCUUUUUCAGUUGCUCAUUCCCCAAGCUGAUUCAGCUAUGCACCAUUUUUUUAUUGGGCUGCUGGAGGAUUUUGGUUCUAACAUACUGUCCAUGAUGCAGGAGCUUGCAACCGUGGUCCCAACACUUGAUACUUCAGGACUUGAUCUUCUAUCUGUAAGUGACCUGUUGAUGUUAUUGAUUCCAUGCUGCAUUUCAUAUGAUUUCCCCGCAGAAACAAAGGCCACUUUUCCUUUGUAGUUUACUCAUUAUUUCUGUUAUAUAUAUUCGGCUUGGUGGUGUUUGGGUUGUUUAGUGGACUAUUGGGAUUGUUGCCAGGUUCUAAACUUGAGUUCCCACAUUAAUUCGGGCACACAUGUGAACACAUUCCCUUCUCUGUAGUAUAUUUUGCCAUGCUAUAAGCAGUAAACAGACAGUAGGUGCAUCUUGAUUGUCACCUAUCAGGCUGUAGCCAUGUAUUCAUUUCUCUUGCUAUGUUGGUCGGAGUGCACUUUAUUAGUUGUAUGUAGACAGGGAAGUCUCUAACAUGGAUAUUGGGUAAUUGGAGUCUGUCCAUUCUCAUUAUAUGGCUGUACCGCCAUUUACAUUAAACACCAAGCAAAAAAUUGCAUUGCUUAUGAAUUUAUUUUUUUAAUCCGUGUGAAGCAUUGUAUGCUGAAUCACACGUAUCAGAAUUAGAGCACACACUACCAAGAACUAGAUGAUAUACUAUCAGUGACAUUAUUUGCUUCCCACCUUUCAUUUCUCCAUCACAAACACUUUUAUUUUCUGUUUUUGUGCAUCCAUGCCCUUGCUGACUGCUGUACUCGCCUCACACAGAAAAUGCUCCGUUUAGAUCCAAGCACAAGAAUCACCGCCCGUGCUGCCCUCGAGCACGAGUACUUCAAGGACCUGGAAGUAGCGUAGAUUAUGUUUCAUCUUGCCCCAUUGUAAAUUAAAAUUGCAUUGAUUGCUCAGCCGAGUUCUUUUUUGGCUUUCCCUAAUCUAAGUUCGUGUGCUCUUCCCCCAUUCUUAUUUUUGCCCUUCGGUUGUGUAGAGAUGAGAACAGAAGGUACCACCUUGCUGUCUCCGUGUAAGUCGUUCCAAUUAAGAAAGAUCCUUUUUCUGGGAGCUCUACGUUGCAAUUUUGUGUCCUAUCUUAUCUUUUUUCACUUGUGCUUAUACUUAUUAUAAACCAAAAUUGAAAUUUUUAACCUUAAAUUUGGAGUUGAUUUUGGGUUCUCUUAUCGUAGUUUAUUUUUCAGCCUUAGUUUUUAGAUUACUAAGAACAUAUAUAUAAACGUUUAUUUAAAUAUUAUUUUUUGUUUGCAAAUACAUCGUUUCAUUAUCCGUGAAGCCUAGAUCCAAGGUCCCAGAGCAUUGCCUGGUCAUUAAUCUGCCAAUAUGGCAUGGACUUCUCCAGCCAACCAAUCAGUUUAAUUUCACUAUUUUACGGCAUUUUUCAACUGAUGUGAAAAUGUUUGAUCUUAUAUCUUCUUUAAAGAUUUGACAUACUUCACUUGCUGGAAUACAUGCUCAUGGGAAUGGACCAUUGGAAUCAGAAAGAAAGUUACUGUUGCAUUUGGCCUCACGCCUGAAUGUUGCUAUGGAUCGGAGGACCAAUGACAAUGAAUCGAUUUUUGUAUGCAAGCGAUGGCGAUGUUCUUGUGCAGUGGAGUAUACAAGAGGAGGAUUCAGCAGGACGAGUUAAUGGCCUUAAAUUGUGUCCCCAAGAAGCAGCGAAAGCAGUUGGACAAUACUGUUGCAGACUUGCAGGUGCAGUGCAGGGUAAAUAUAAAGUGAGGCACAUGUAAAAGCCGUCUGCAAUGACACCGUCACGAAGAUGACGUGAAUAUGUCUGAAAAUUAUCAAAUCAUCUGUCGGUUUAUAUGUACCUAGACAUUUUACGUGACGUGUUUGGAUGGAUAUGUUGAUUGAUAAAAUGUCCUUGCACGUGGAAAUGUGACAAUUUUAAAUCUUGAGUAAAUUGCAUAAAACUAUAUAUAUAUAUAUAUAUAUUGAUUAAAUUAUCCCAAAACUAUAUAUUUAAAGUGAUGUAUCGGAAAACUAUAGAUUUAAUUCUAAAUUUAUCACAAGACUAUAGAUCAAAGAUUGAAAUUAUCCAAAAGUUACACAUUUUAGAGUUUAAAUCCCUAUCACUACCAUUGUAUUCGAGCUAUGAACAUUUUAGUUUUGUGAUAGAAUUAACAUUAAGUACAUAAAUAUGUGACAAUUUUGUUGCUAAAUCUAUUGUUUUGCAAUGCUUAAUAUAAAAUUUACAGUUUUAUGAUAAAAUUGCCACUAAAUUUGUAGUUUUAUGAUAGUUUGAUAAAAGUUCAUAUAGUUUUGUGAAAUUUGCCCUAAAAUCUCUAUGUGAAUUUAAAAUUAAGGAAUAAAUCUUACAAAUUGCAUAUGGUUGCGCAAGGAGAAAAUAAGGGCAUGUUUGGUUACCUUCUCCAAGCCAGGCUUGCAUCCGUGCAUGCAAUUGAUGAUGUUUAGUUGCCUGCACGCGCUUUAGGAUCAGGCUCCGAGCAUGCAAAAUCGCCUCUCCAGUUAGGCUCAAGAGAAACGCUCGGGUCGA
Molecule: long non-coding RNA, 4133 nt
Filed under: Oryza brachyantha (malo sina)
Lineage: Eukaryota; Viridiplantae; Streptophyta; Magnoliopsida; Poales; Poaceae
Description: long non-coding RNA (OBRA_LNC000334)
Source: RNAcentral